UGCUUGCACUCCGCUGACGACCGGCGCACGGGUGCGGAACGCGUAUGGAACCUGCCCCUGUCAGGGGAAUAGCCCAGAGAAAUUUGGAUUAAUGCCCCAUGGUAACAACGGAUUGCAUGAUCAGUUGUUUAAAGAUUUAUCGGACAGGGAUGGCCAUGCGUACCAUUAGCUGGUUGGUAAGGUAACGGCUUACCAGGGCAACGAUGGUUAGGGGCCCUGAGAGGGGGAUCCCCCACACUGGUACUGAGACACGGACCAGACUCCUACGGGAGGCAGCAGUGAGGAAUAUUGGACAAUGGGCGGGAGCCUGAUCCAGCCAUGCCGCGUGCAGGAUGACUGCCCUAUGGGUUGUAAACUGCUUUUAUACGGGAAGAAACCUAUCCACGUGUGGAUAGCUGACGGUACCGUAAGAAUAAGGACCGGCUAACUCCGUGCCAGCAGCCGCGGUAAUACGGAGGGUCCGAGCGUUAUCCGGAAUCAUUGGGUUUAAAGGGUCCGUAGGCGGGCGUAUAAGUCAGGGGUGAAAGUUUGCGGCUCAACCGUAAAAUUGCCUUUGAUACUGUACGUCUUGAGUUAUAGUGGAGUUGCCGGAACAUGUGGUGUAGCGGUGAAAUGCAUAGAUAUCACAUAGAACACCGAUCGCGAAGGCAGGUGACUAACUAUAUACUGACGCUGAUGGACGAAAGCGUGGGGAGCGAACGGGAUUAGAUACCCCGGUAGUCCACGCCGUAAACGAUGGAUACUAGCUGUCGGGACCUCGGUCUCGGCGGCCAAGCGAAAGUGAUAAGUAUCCCACCUGGGGAGUACGUUCGCAAGAAUGAAACUCAAAGGAAUUGACGGGGGCCCGCACAAGCGGUGGAGCAUGUGGUUUAAUUCGAUGAUACGCGAGGAACCUUACCAGGCUUAAAUGUAGUUGCAUGGG
RNAcentral lists this ribosomal RNA (922 nucleotides) under uncultured bacterium. RNAcentral describes it as "bacterial SSU rRNA". It matches the Rfam family "Bacterial small subunit ribosomal RNA", at positions 77 to 998 of the family's 1533-position model. The record is from RNAcentral.